AGGACAAGGCGGAGCCAUGGUAAGAAGAAGGGAGGCAGAAGUAGAGCGUCUGAUAACAUAGCAGGCCAAGGUUAGGAGUUUUGUAUGGCCUACAGGGAUGGUGGGAAGACACACAGGCCAGGAGAUAAAACAGCAGGCUAGGCAGAGUUGAGAAAGGCUGAAACUGAUGAUUUGAAGAAUUGAGCAGAUCUGGAGUAUAUCCUACCUAUUAAGCACAAGAACAUAAGAACAGCCCUUCUGGAUUAGACCCAAGGCCCAUCUAGUCCAGUAUCCUGUUUGCCACAGUGGCCCACCAAAUGCCUCUGAGAAGCCCGCAGGCAAGAGAUGAGGUCAUGCCCACACUCUUGCUGUUGCUCCCCUGCAACAGACCUGUAAUAUGCUGAACUCGUUGAAAAGACUGAUGUCCUAUUCUAAUCCAGGCUACUGUGUUUAAUCAAGGAACAGGAUCUGAUAUACAGCACAGAACAUCC
This is a long non-coding RNA of Hemicordylus capensis (graceful crag lizard), 470 nucleotides long. RefSeq lists it as uncharacterized. The transcript has 3 exons. The record is from RefSeq and is a predicted model, not a curated record. NCBI's taxonomy places the organism in Eukaryota, Metazoa, Chordata, Lepidosauria, Squamata, Cordylidae.